RNAcentral lists this ribosomal RNA (318 nucleotides) under uncultured bacterium. Its description in RNAcentral is "bacterial SSU rRNA". It matches the Rfam family "Bacterial small subunit ribosomal RNA", at positions 30 to 334 of the family's 1533-position model. The record is from RNAcentral.
AAAACACUAUUGAACGCUGGCGGCAGGCCUAACACAUGCAAGUCGAACGGUAACAGGAAGCAGCUUGCUGCUUCGCUGACGAGUGGCGGACGGGUGAGUAAUGUCUGGGAAACUGCCCGAUGGAGGGGGAUAACUACUGGAAACGGUAGCUAAUACCGCAUAACGUCGCAAGACCAAAGAGGGGGACCUUCGGGCCUCUUGCCAUCGGAUGUGCCCAGAUGGGAUUAGCUUGUUGGUGAGGUAACGGCUCACCAAGGCGACGAUCCCUAGCUGGUCUGAGAGGAUGACCAGCCACACUGGAACUGAGACACGGUCCAG